UUUCCGUAGGUGAACCUGCGGAAGGAUCAUUAUCGUAAGGGCUCCGGCCCCUUCGAGAUAGCACCCUUGCCUUUGAGUACUGUACGUUUCCUCGGCGGGUACGCCUGCCAACGGGGACCACCCAAAACCUUUUGCAAUGAGUGGUAAUCGUCUGAUCAAAAACACAAUAUCAAAACUUUCAACAAUGGAUCUCUUGGUUCUGGCAUCGAUGAAGAACGCAGC
RNAcentral lists this unclassified non-coding RNA (222 nucleotides) under uncultured fungus. Its description in RNAcentral is "sequence contains ITS1, 5.8S rRNA gene". The stretch from base 174 to 222 matches the Rfam family "5.8S ribosomal RNA", at positions 1 to 49 of the family's 154-position model. Lineage: Eukaryota; Fungi. The record is from RNAcentral.